ACUCUUCAACUCUAUCGUUUCUUGUUAAGCGAUUAGAAGUUUGGAUUUUGAAUGUUGCUAGUCCUUUUACGGGACUUUAGCUCGUUCGUAAUACAUUAGCCUUUCUAAUUCCGAACUUCGGAUUGACUCAGUGUAAUAGACUAUUCGCUGAGGACACUAGUAAUAGUGGCCGAUAUUCAACAUAAGAAAAGCUUCAAACCUUUGUAGUCAAUUUUAG
This 217-nucleotide unclassified non-coding RNA is filed under the name Glaciozyma antarctica. Its description in RNAcentral is "partial internal transcribed spacer 2". Lineage: Eukaryota; Fungi; Basidiomycota; Microbotryomycetes; Kriegeriales; Camptobasidiaceae. The record is from RNAcentral.